RNAcentral lists this ribosomal RNA (530 nucleotides) under Halomonas sp. RNAcentral's name for it is "bacterial SSU rRNA". It matches the Rfam family "Bacterial small subunit ribosomal RNA", at positions 383 to 905 of the family's 1533-position model. Lineage: Bacteria; Pseudomonadati; Pseudomonadota; Gammaproteobacteria; Oceanospirillales; Halomonadaceae. The record is from RNAcentral.
CUGAUCCAGCCAUGCCGCGUGUGUGAAGAAGGCCCUCGGGUUGUAAAGCACUUUCAGCGAGGAAGAACGCCUAGCGGUUAAUACCCGCUAGGAAAGACAUCACUCGCAGAAGAAGCACCGGCUAACUCCGUGCCAGCAGCCGCGGUAAUACGGAGGGUGCAAGCGUUAAUCGGAAUUACUGGGCGUAAAGCGCGCGUAGGUGGCUUGAUAAGCCGGUUGUGAAAGCCCCGGGCUCAACCUGGGAACGGCAUCCGGAACUGUCAAGCUAGAGUGCAGGAGAGGAAGGUAGAAUUCCCGGUGUAGCGGUGAAAUGCGUAGAGAUCGGGAGGAAUACCAGUGGCGAAGGCGGCCUUCUGGACUGACACUGACACUGAGGUGCGAAAGCGUGGGUAGCAAACAGGAUUAGAUACCCUGGUAGUCCACGCCGUAAACGAUGUCGACCAGCCGUUGGGUGCCUAGCGCACUUUGUGGCGAAGUUAACGCGAUAAGUCGACCGCCUGGGGAGUACGGCCGCAAGGUUAAAACUCAAA